AAAGUUCUAAAGAUUUACGAUUAACGUAGUCUAUAAAAUAAAAAUUGAACGAAGAUAAAUUCUCAAGAGAAUAUUAUGUUUUGAAUAAUGAAUCAAUGGAGCAUUGUUUGAAUCGCACGAUCGAGCCGGAAACGAGUAAAGAGAAUACCAACAAAAUUCAACAGAAUAAUGUUCGAUGUCGUGUGACAGGCGGGUCGUGGCCGGAAAAGCGCGAAAAUAGGAAGAGGAAGCGAGCGAAGAAAGAAAGAAAAGAGAGGCGGAGACGUGGAAGUGGCGCGUGGCACUACCGAAUAAGUAUCGAAUGCCGCCAGAUGUUGCGGUGAAGCCAGCUGCUGCACCUCCGCCACUCUGCCCUCUUUUGCUUUUCCUCGCGGUUUUUCGAGAGAGUCGAGCAGAGAACUGGCGUGAAAACCGAAAAGGGACAAGAAGGAAAAGAAAAAGGAGAGCCCUUCGAGCGAGGAGAACAAGAUGGGAAGGAAGUGGCGGAGGGGGUCGAAAGCGAAUAUCCUUCCUGCCGGGGCAACAAACAGGCAGCUGCUCGGAUUUGAGCACGUGCUACUACCACCGUGCGCUGCCACGAUGAGCCUCGUCUUAGAUAGCCGAGGUUGGUAGGUUGCUGGGUAAAGAUAGGAAAGAAGUGACUUGAUGAUUUGAUAUGACUAUGUUUUGCACGGAAAAUGAUCGACGAAGGUUGAUCGGUAGGAUGAUCGGAAGAUAUUAUGCACCAACUCUCUAAAUAGAAGGUAUACUAUAUGAGCACCAGAUAUCUCCAAGAAGGGUACGAUCGUGCAUGCAUGCGUAUCUCCCUUCAUGGCAUCAACUAUACGUAAGUUUUCCUUCGGGCUAUUAAUUCUCUUUCAAGGUGGUCUCUGAUUUUGCAAUUUUACACCAGUUGAGUUUUAUGGGUUUUUCCUUUAGUGACGUGAGAUAUUAACAGAUAUUUUCUUAAUAAUCUAUUUAUUAAUCCAGGCAAUGAAAUGAUGAAAAAUUCUAACCUCAAAUUUUAUCGAUUAAAAUUUAUGUUAUUAAUUUUGAUUUUUUUUUUUUAAAGACUAAGGAAAUGAUCGAGCUAUUGAUUUUUAAACGAUUAUAUGUCUAAUAGAAAGUUAAAUUGAUUUUCUGUUGACUGGAUAAUUAAAUUUUCAGCGAAUCGAAUAUCUUCUUAUCUGAUCAUAUAUCCGUAGACCUGGCGUUAUUAAUUUAGUAGAAAUCUGCAGGUGCUUCUACAGAAAUUUCGUUAAUCGAUCCUACAUUCAUGUCGACCAUGCAUCCAUAAUCAAACCCGCAUUCAAAGAUCCUUCAAAGAAAUUUUAUCCGUUUAAUUGCAAAUGAAAAAUACAUAUUUUAUUUUUCUUAUUUUUGAAUUUUUAUAUUAAUUAUAAAAUCUGAUAUUCGUUGUAUAUGCUGAAAGAUCAAUUGAUUUCAAUUCAAAAAAAAAAAAAAAAAAAAAUUACCUGAAUAAAGGGAAUCAAAUAAUUUUAUCCACAGGAAUAUUUAUGAAAAGGAUCAAUAGAAGAUUGUCUUAUAUCAUUUAGCUAUAUUCAAAAACGCAUGACACAUUAGUUACAAUAUUACAAAUGAUAUUUAUUGGCCUGGUCCUCCAUGGUACCUGAUAAUCAUGCGACACCUGUUACGACACAACACUUACUUAAUUGGAGGCUACGAACAGCUGCCCACACGACGAACCAAUCACGGCGGUUCGCCUGAAAUUCUUCUUUACCCGCGACAUCCCUGACGAGCACCUGUUCCAAUUCGGAAUAUAUACCGAACAAGGAUCCUUGACCAGGAUUUCUCACGAAAGGAAAGUCCGUAUUGAUUGUUGGAUUCCGAUUUAUUCGAUCGACAGCCCGUGAUUUCGUUUCGAUGAUGAUGAUGAUGCAAUUAAUUAGCCAAUUAAUUAAAACAUGCGGCUACGAAAUUGGAAUAUCAAUCAAAUCCAAAUUUAAAUUAGAAAUAUUUAAUAUUUCGCAAUAUGUUUCUUUUUUCAAAUUAAAAUUAAAAAUAAAUUUCAGUUAAAAUUCAGACUACUAAUUAGUGAGAAUAGAAAACACUUUUGUAUAAUUAUUUUGAACAUAUUUCAAUUUUUAUGUUACAUAUAUACUUUUUUUUAUCAUUUUAGAGUACGCUGUGUGAUUUUUUUUACAAACAAGCGAUUGCAUUUAUUACUCAACUGUCAUAGCGAAGCUGGAAAUUUGUCCAUCGCAUAAAAGCAUAUCAUGCUCAAAUAUUCGAGGAGGCUGCAGUUAGUUCUUAAGUCCUUUGCUACUUUACAACGACACUGCGUAACGAUGCUGGACGGACGGCGGGCACAGCUGUCAACCCGUGUCCACAAGAGGACCAUGCUUGAAUUUCUAUAUCGUCCACGAUAUCAUACUCAAAUAUGUAUUCGGUAUAUAUACAACUAUGGCGAAAUUCCUUGAUGUUACCUCACCAUGCUUAAUGACACGUAAGAGGUCUGCGUAUUACACCUGUCAGGCCACCUUUGCCAAAAAUUACUCAAAUUCUGUCUCUUAAGAUGGGACAUGGAUGAUCAACCAGCUGGUGUUAUAGCUUUUCACGAUUUCGCAAUGUUUGAUCAACGAAAAUUCAAGAAAAUUGUUCUGCUUGGGAUUAAUUGUCAAACUUGAGAAUCUCGACAAUUAAAAUUAAGGGAAGUAUUAGUGAUUAAAUAAUUUAAAAUUUCUUCAAU
This 2689-nucleotide long non-coding RNA is filed under the name Apis florea (little honeybee). RNAcentral describes it as "uncharacterized LOC100864073, transcript variant X1". The record is from RNAcentral. Lineage: Eukaryota; Metazoa; Arthropoda; Insecta; Hymenoptera; Apidae.